GUGAACGCUAGCGGCGUGCCUAAUACAUGCAAGUCGAGCGAUCCUAUUUACUUAGGAUAGCGGCAAACGGGUGAAUAACACGUGGGAAUCUGCCCUUUAGUGAGGAAUAACCCGCCGAAAGGCGGAUUAAUACCGCAUACGCCCCGCUUCUGCGGGGUAAAGCCUUCGGGCGCUAAAGGAGGAGCCUGCGGCCUAUCAGCUAGUUGGUAAGGUAAUGGCUUACCAAGGCUAUGACGGGUAGCUGGUCUGAGAGGACGAUCAGCCACAAGGGAACUGAGACACGGUCCCUACUCCUACGGGAGGCAGCAGUAAGGAAUAUUCCGCAAUGGGCGAAAGCCUGACGGAGCAACGCCGCGUGUGGGACGAAGCUCGAAAGAGCGUAAACCACUUUUCUGAGGGAGCAAGUUCUGAGUUAACCUCAGGAAUAAGUACCGGCUAACUACGU
This 445-nucleotide ribosomal RNA is filed under the name uncultured bacterium. RNAcentral's name for it is "bacterial SSU rRNA". It matches the Rfam family "Bacterial small subunit ribosomal RNA", at positions 29 to 506 of the family's 1533-position model. The record is from RNAcentral.